ACAAAAACAUCUUUUCUUGUUAGUUUUUGAAGUAUGGCCUGCCCACUGACUUUUUGUUGAAGGGCCGCGGUAUUUUGACCGUGCAAAGGUAGCAUAAUCAUUAGUUCUUUAAUUGUGAUCUGGUAUGAAUGGCUUGACGAGACAUGUACUGUCUUAGGUGUUAGAAUAUUUUAUUGAAUUUGGUUUUUGAGUUAAAAUUCUUAAAUGUUUUUAUGGGACGAGAAGACCCUAUAGAGUUUAACAUUUGUAUUUGCUUUCUUUGUUUUGUUUGUUUUUAUUUUGUGAAGUAAUUUAAGUGUUUUGUUGGGGUGAUGGGAGGAAUUUAUUUAACUCCUCUUUGUUUGUUUUAUAUUUAUUUAUAUUUUUUUGAUCCAUUUAUUUUGAUUAUAAGAUUAAAUUACCUUAGGGAUAACAGCGUUAUCUUCCUUGAGAGUUCUUAUUGGCGGGAGGGUUUGCGACCUCGAUGUUGGAUUAAGGUUAAUUUUUGGUGUAGGAGCUGAAAAUGAUUGGGUC
Molecule: ribosomal RNA, 513 nt
Filed under: Anoplotermes group sp. 3 RCD-2018
Lineage: Eukaryota; Metazoa; Arthropoda; Insecta; Blattodea; Termitidae
Description: partial 16S ribosomal RNA
Rfam family: Bacterial large subunit ribosomal RNA
Source: RNAcentral